CUGGCAGCAUCCCAGCAGAGUCAUAUUCCCAUUGCAUUCCUUGGAUAUCUCCCAGCCACUGGCCUGAGAAAGUCACUAACCUUCAUAUGCUUCAUUGUUCUGGCGGGAUGUCUCCAUCCGGAUGGUGUCGCGUGACUUCUGCUGACCACUGAGCAUGCACUUACACAGCUCAUCCCAGAAACAUCUGAUCUAACAGACACAUUCUGGCAAUACCACACCCCCUGCUCCUCAACACCCACCAGCAGGAUGCACAUCUCUUCCAGAGCUGCGGAGCAGCUGGGAGAAGGAGGUGCACCCAUGUUCCCCCUCACAAGGACAUGAGGGAAUUGGGACCAACUGCUGCUGCCACCACUGCCACCUGCUGAGAUCUCCAGCUCAAAGUGACCUGGACCUACUCCAUCUUCUGGGGCAGAGAGAAUGCAAGCAACCACAGAGGAGAAGCUGCUUCCAGAGGUGAUCAACUGACUCAGGAGCCUAAACUUGCAAUUCAGAAGCAGCUUAAGGCGAGGGCUUUUCAGCAAGAGGGAUUUCUAAGGCCCAUCAGUUUCUGAAAACAAGAUUUUGGACCACAGAGAUUUAAACCCAUGAAGUGUUUACACCCUUGAAUGCCCUCGAAUUUAAAGCUGCAGAAGUACCACCCCCACCUCCACGUUUAUACCCUGCUCCAUUCCUCUGCAGAGUGAAGCUGCAGGCAGCUGCAGCAGCCCUCAUGCCCUGCUCUUUGCGUAUCAUUCCUGAGUUAUUAGAGCAAAGUCAGCAAGUGAGCAGAGACGAAGUUAUGACAUUCAGGGCCGGCAAGUACAGUAGCAGUGUAAACAGCAGACAGGCCCAGAAACUCCUCUGCCGUCCCUUCUAUCUUCAAGACUCAUGCUUCUCCGCUGUCCUGAAUCUCUGGAUAGCUUCAAACCUGAUGCCAGCCCUGAGCUCUGCUCCCCUGGCAAAGCAGGUACAACCCCUUGCACUAACCAAAGUGUUUUGGUGGCGGGGGGGAGGAAUCCCUGCACACUGUAAGUGUCGGUUUCUCUUGUAAAACCUCCUCGAGCUGCCCUGCUGCUAUACGGCCAGUGGUUAGAGGGAGUAGGACAGAGGGCCACCAAAUGCUCUGCUCCACACCACAUCUUCCACAGUUUGUCAUAGGCCCUUUUGUACUGAUUUUUAAACCUCCCACAUGCCUGUCUCUUCCAGCUACCUGGCUCAUGAAACCUCCUUGGAAAAAAAUGUGUUUACACUGAUGAGAAAAGCCUGACAAUGUGAAAGACAUUGGCUUGAAACUUUAAAGAUAAAUAAAUCCCCAUGCCCCAAUUACCUUUACUCACAGUGCUUGUGCUCUUUAAGGCAUGCCUCCUCAAGUCUGACUCGGGUACGUGGGGCAGCUGGAGUUGGCAGUAGCACGUAAGUGGCACUCAGGCAUUGUGUUGCUUGCA
Gallus gallus (chicken) is the source of this 1424-nucleotide long non-coding RNA. NCBI's taxonomy places the organism in Eukaryota, Metazoa, Chordata, Aves, Galliformes, Phasianidae. The record is from Ensembl.